Non-coding RNA from Camellia sinensis, 5844 nucleotides. NCBI's taxonomy places the organism in Eukaryota, Viridiplantae, Streptophyta, Magnoliopsida, Ericales, Theaceae. The record is from RefSeq and is a predicted model, not a curated record.
AGUGAUAAGAAUUUAGAGGAAUUCAGCAUUGUUGUUUGUUGGUUUACGUGUCUUUCUGGCCGUACGUUGUUUGAGUGAGGUAGGUGUACGUGUCUUCCGGUAAGUAUUGCAACCGAACCGGGUGCAAUCAUCUGUCCCUCCUAGAAUUUUCUUGUGUUCGGUGGAUCAAAUUUUGCAAUCAAACGAUUCUCUCUCAACCGAAGGCAAAUGCAUAUAUGUAUAUACUCGUUGUUCUAUUUCACUUCCCAUCUUGGUUUAGCUUCGUUGUUUCUAGGUACGCAGAUUACAGCCCAAACUCCACAACCUGGUAUGUAAUUUAGUGAUUUUCUACUUCUUUUUCUGCUAGCUAUGGAUAUAUUGAUAUCUGAUUUGAAUGCCUCUGUUCUCUUGGGUGCUUGUUAGUGCUUACGCAAAUUAGGCACACCACCUGUUUGACAAUAUGCCUGAACAUGCAAACCAAAAAAUUAGAGGCUUCCUUAAUUGAAAACUUGCACUGAAAAUGUGUGAAUGCUCAUAAAAGUUAGAGAACUCAUACUCAGAAACUAAACCAAUAAUGAACAAUUCACCGCAAACCAAUUACAACAUGCUGACCACUGUGUUUUUACCCCUAACCUAUACGUAUUUACAUGUGAUUGUUUAUGAAUCCAAUGUCCUGUUUACCACUAACAUAAUCUUGCUUGUGAUUGUUGCUACUGGUAUUCUUCUUGGAUCCUGUAAAAUGAUACCUGUAAAUAAAAUAAACAUAACUUACAUCCCCAGAACAUAUUGUAUAAGUACUAAUUACCAAUACAUUCAAACAAUAAUGAGUAAAUAAAAAUUUGGGCAUGCGUAGAUGUAAUGAAAAAUAUGUUGACAACGGUGUUCGUUGGUACACACACACACACACGUAUAUAUAAGAAAGAAUGAUAGAUAGAUGGUUGGUGGCAGUUAGUUUGUUUUUUGUUUUUCAUCACUUAAAUUACAUCAUAAAAGCUACUGAAUAAAUGAACCAUCUGAUAAAAUAUUAAGAAAACUAGAAAUUAGAAGUCCGUCGAUCCAAACCCUCAAGUCAUCUACUGCACUAUUUCCUUCAUAUCGGUGAUAAAAUAUUAGGAAAAGACUCAAUAGAAUAUCAAACAAGCCUAUUUCUCCUUAAACCCAGUGCAACCAUCAUUUUCACAUAUCAAACCCUAUCCCUGCCAUCAUUUUCAAGUUUAUUGGAUUGGAAAGGUUGGUUCAUAGAACCACAUUAGUCAAAACUUGAUACAUAUAUAUAUAUAUAUAUAUAAAAGACUGACACUACAAACGAAAAACCUUUGAAGCAAAAAACCUCUAUUUGAUGUUAACCACCUCAAUGCUCAAACUGAGAUUUAAGCUAAAUUUCAAUCAAAGUUUGAUGAAGUAGUAACUUUGAGAGUAAACAUUUCGGUCUCCUUUGGUUUUAGUAAAAAAUUGAAUAAAACACAAUUUGAUAGAAGUUUAGCUGAAGGAGUAAAGGAUUGAUUUUCAUGCAAAUUUGAAUUUGAUAGAAGUUUGAGUUAAGGAUUGGAGAUGUGUAACAGACUAUUUUAAUAUUCAUAUAUAAAUUACAUAAUUAAAAAAUAUAUAUAAAAUGUAUUUGCCUAUUUGAUAAAUGAGAGAACACAUUAUUGUGAGACUUUUAGUGUUUUUUGAGCAAAAUGGAUGGGAAAAAGUUCCCACAUGAAGAGAGACUUCUCAUUAAAGCAUAUUGUCUUCUUUUCAUUUUUAAAUUUUACUCUGAAUUAGAGACCCUUUUAAAUUUGAAACUAAGAUUUCUUCUCCUCCCUAAAUCCACUUCCUCAUCUCUUGCCCAAACCCAAGGAAAGGAUAUAUAAGCAAUACCUUUGGACUUGUAAAGACCUAUCACCUCAACUCCACUGUUGUUGCAAUGGAGAUUUAAAGUAUGAAUAGUAAUAAUUUAACAUAUCAAAGUUUCAUGGACUAGAUUAGCAAGCAUUUCUAAUUCAUUGUUAAAAAGAAUGAUUAAUGUGAGAAUAUGUUUGUUUUUUUUUGUCCGCAUGAUGUAAUGAGAUGGUUGGUGGCUGACCACUAGCCAAGGACAUGCCUGUUACUAUAUUGUAGAUGAAAAAAAACUCUCCUACAUCUUUCAUGGCCUUGGAGUAUGAGGUCUGGUAAUAGUAAGCCAAUAGAAAUGUUAUUUAGUAUAUAAGGCCUGUGUUGAAGUUUGCAUUUAAUUGUUCAAGUUGUUCUACGCUUCAAGUUUAAAAUGAUGGUGCUCAAAAGGGAUAAGUUACGGCAAAACAUUUCCUUUUGUGUUUUUAGCAUCAUAGUCAAAAAGAACAAUUGGCAUAUGGAAAUAAUAAAAAUAAUGACAGGGAAAAAAUCAAUUACAAUGAAAGAGAAAAUGCUCUCCCACAAUUUCAGCUUCUAUUUUUUCUUUUCCCUAAUUGGCUGUUUUACAUGGUGAUGAAGCAUGCCAUUCUGAUUCACUGUCUAUUUUUUGUUCCUCAAACAAUCUAUGAUAUAUUUAUUUUUAUGUAUAAAUAGUAGAGCAAUAGCUAACUGGUAGCCUGCCUUGAUAUUUGUGAUUUGAACUAUUUAUUGAAAUCAUACCCAUAUGGUGCUUUUAUUCUAUACUUUAGUGUUUUGCUUAGCAGCGGAGAUAUAUUGAAAUGUCUCAGAAUGCUAGAUGUUGCUUGUUUUGUUGUUUGUAAUUAACUACAGAUGCUCAACAACAUAGGACCAAUGUAAUUAGCCAAGCCUCCAUUUGCUUUGCUGUAAAAUAUGCCCCUCAUUUUCUUAUGUUUGUUAAUAAGUUAGGAAAACAAUUUUUUGUAACAUGUUUGCAAAUGCCUAAAAUUAACUUUUCGAUUCCAAAUCAAUAAGUUAUUUUCCGACUUCCAAAUCAAAAAUUUUGGUUACAGCAGAAACUAUGUGAGACAAAUAGUCAGAUAGUGUCAUGGGCCUAAGGAAAAAUGGUUAGAGUUCUCAAUGAACUACGCAUUGUGUCCACACUGUGUAGUUCAACCACAUUAUAACCCAAGAUAUGUGAAUUUAAAAGUUUUUUUUUUAAAGUAUGAAUGGUUUAUUAAUAAUAUGCAUUAAUUAUCUUGUGAAUUAUGUGGUUGCCCAUGUUCUCGAACAAGCUGUUCUGUCAGCUCAGUUCCCUCUCUUGAGGAUCAUUCUACACUUCACUUUUUCACUGCAUUGGGUUCCUUAGAAAACUUGAGAAAACAAAAGAAAAGAAAUUUCGGGCCCUGUGCUCUAUGUUGAUUUUGUUAAAAAAAUAUAAAAUGCUUGAGUCAAUUGGUUACACUAAAUUGUUAUGUGAGGCAUAAUGUGUUAGAGAUUUAUGUUUUGCCCUUUUAUUUUCCACACUUUCAUGACGGAGCAUUCAUGAAUUUAUCAUUGUUUUUGGCCUGCAAUCAUAGUUUCUGUUUCUUUGGUUCUUUAGAGAAACUUAGAUCAAUUGGAAGCAUUAUCGAAAAAGCUAAAGGCGGAAACCCUAAGAAGUUGAGCUCUUACUUAACCUAUUGUUACCACUAUGUACUUAUCUAUCUCUCUGUUAUAUACACACAUCAAUUUUAUGCAUUAUUAAAAUACAUACAGAUGUGUACACUUAUUAUGCAUAUGUGGACAUUUAAACAUACACAAACACUGACACUCAAGUUCGUGCACAAGUUUCUCAAGAUGACUUUGAAGCAAUGAUAAUUUACUAGUUUGGAUGAUGAGAAAAUACAGGAAAGGAUAUGAGAAGUUGGAACUUGCAAGUUUGUAACAAAUUGGGUUUGCAAUGAUUGUUUUGAGAUUCCAUGGUUUAUUUAAUAACAGCAGAGGAUAUCUCAUCCUUUUUUCCAAUUUGGGUUUGCAAUGACCUCUUUUCUGGUUUUCCUCAGGAAUCAACUAUUUGAGAAUGUCUGACUAAUAAUUGUCAAUAGUUUGAUAUUCUUCCAUACUUCUGAAGUUUUUAUUUUUCCCCUCUAAUUUAUAUGCAAGCUAUUAGUGCAUGAAGGAAUAAAUGCAAAGCAGCUUGCUCAAGAUCUUAAAUCUUUUGAAUUAAAGAUGACUUUUGAAGAUGUUUUCCCUGCUGAGGCAACAAUCGUGGAAGAGUAUUUGCAAUAGAUUUUGAUUGACCGUAUAUGCUGUUGUGUGAUUCGGGGGGAGGGAAGAGGAAUAUUGAAGAUUGAUUGGUGCUGAUUGUGUGUUGCUGUGUUACAUUGGGCGGUCAUUGGUGUGACAUUGUAAAUUGUUGAACGAAGCAUCUUGCAGAUCUAUGCUAUGGCGGAAAGCGAGUGCAAUAGGGUACAUAGCCUGUGGACACGUUAAUGUGAAAGGAGACGGGCUACGAAAGAAACUAGUUCAAAGGCAAACACCUUGGGAGUGAAAAUGCAGUGACGAAUUCUAUUCAAACAGUCUAAAGUUGGUCACAAUGCCGUGGGACGCAAUGUGACUAAGUCUACAAAAGAUCCCCCGCGUCAGACACGUCAGGCACACACAAGGCUGAACUACCGUUCUAAUGUUGCAGGGAUAGUGAAGCUUGUUAGUUUGGAAAAUUUGAGGAAGGCACACUUGAAACUGCUGAGGAAAACACCGUUUUGGGUUAUGAUCGAGGCAAUACACAUUAACAAUUUGAACCAUAAUGAAUUUAGGAAGUGUGAUGAUUUAAUCUCCAAGAUAAUACGAGCGUAUGAUCAGCGGGAUAAUGCUUUUCACAUUUGAGGGGCCAGUGUGAAACUUGGUAGUAGUGACAUCAGGUUAAUUUUCAGUUUGCAAUGCUUAAAGAGGCGUUUAGAUUUGUCACCGGGGCAAUGUAUCAGACUUCAUUCAACGUAGAUGCCGUGACGCUUCACGCAUAACAUCGAAGCUUGUGAAGACGUUAUUCCUGGAGGUUGUGAAUGGGCGGUCCAAACAAGAUGAGGAAGACGCAACGAAGUUGUUGGCAUUGUAUAUGUGUGGCAAAUUAUUUUUCGCUAACUCUGGGAAGACAAUAAGUUAGGCCUUUGUUCGGUAUAUGAAUGACCUGAACACUAUCAGAAUGUACAAUUGGACUGGAGCAAUACUAACAACAUUGAUGGGUUUAAUUCAAGAGUUCCAUCGCACACUCGGAAAGGCGACUGGUUGUGUGCUCGUGCUAAUGUAUUGGAUAUGUGAACAUUCAACAGUACUUAAGCCUCAAACCGACAACAUGUUCCCCAGAUUUUUGAAAUGGGACAUUGGGGCAUUGAUUAAUAAAGUUCAAUGGGUCGAUCUGUCUGGUAUCAUCAAGUUUUAGGUGAUAGUCGACCGACUAAGGCCGUUUGAUUAUGAACGUGAAGUUAUGGGAACAGACAUUGAGGUGAUGAAAGGUGUUGUAGCAGAUGUUGUGGAUGGUGAUGAUGGUGAUGAGCACUUCAUGGAUAAGGUGAAGGUUGCCGUCACAUCCAAUGAUGCGCCGAUGCAUAUAGGCAAUGUUGAAACUAGUAGUGGCAACGGAUGUGAACAACGCAGUUCAGGAAAUGUGCAACAUCCGAACAUGGUUGAGUGGGGGAUUGAGACAGACAGAUUACAUGGUUAGACGGCUGAACAAGGCCAUAACGGGCCAAAUGAUAUGAAACUUGAAGAAGCAGUACGUGUAAUCGCAGAUCUUGAGCUGCAGAAUCAAAAAAAUGAGGAAAUAGUCGUGUUGCUUAAAGAAGAUGUUGCCGAGUUGAAGAGAAAGUUGGAGUUGCAAGCUGUGAACAUAGUUGGGGGGUUUGAGAGUGUAUUGCAGAUGAAAAAUGAGGAGUUAGAUAAGUUGAAGAAUGAGAAUAUGGAAUUGCAAAACAAAGUUGUUAGACUUAUUUAUUUUGAUGAUUUAUUUAAUUAUGUUUUAAUAGAAUCAAAAUUUAUUUUGAUGAUUUAUUU